GCGAGUCUGAAUAGGGCGAAUGAGUAUUUGGUCGUAGACCCGAAACCAGGUGAUCUACCCUUGGUCAGGUUGAAGUUCAGGUAACACUGAAUGGAGGACCGAACCGACUUACGUUGAAAAGUGAGCGGAUGAACUGAGGGUAGCGGAGAAAUUCCAAUCGAACUUGGAGAUAGCUGGUUCUCUCCGAAAUAGCUUUAGGGCUAGCCUCAAGUGAUGAUUAUUGGAGGUAGAGCACUGUUUGGACGAGGGGCCCCUCUCGGGUUACCGAAUUCAGACAAACUCCGAAUGCCAAAUAAUUUAACUUGGGAGUCAGAAUGUGGGUGAUAAGGUCCAUAUUCGAAAGGGAAACAGCCCAGACCACCAGCUAAGGUCCCAAAAUAUAUGUUAAGUGGAAAAGGAUGUGGCGUUGCCCAGACAACUAGGAUGUUGGCUUAGAAGCAGCCAUCAUUUAAAGAGUGCGUAAUAGCUCACUAGUCGAGUGACACUGCGCCGAAAAUGUACCGGGGCUAAACAUAUUACCGAAGCUGUGGAUUGUCCUUUGGACAAUGGUAGGAGAGCGUUCUAAGGGCGUUGAAGCAUGAUCGCAAGGACAUGUGGAGCGCUUAGAAGUGAGAAUGCCGGUGUGAGUA
RNAcentral lists this ribosomal RNA (629 nucleotides) under Staphylococcus pseudintermedius. RNAcentral's name for it is "partial 23S ribosomal RNA". It matches the Rfam family "Bacterial large subunit ribosomal RNA", at positions 677 to 1308 of the family's 2925-position model. Lineage: Bacteria; Bacillati; Bacillota; Bacilli; Caryophanales; Staphylococcaceae. The record is from RNAcentral.